This 439-nucleotide ribosomal RNA is filed under the name uncultured Flavobacterium sp. RNAcentral's name for it is "bacterial SSU rRNA". It matches the Rfam family "Bacterial small subunit ribosomal RNA", at positions 28 to 467 of the family's 1533-position model. Lineage: Bacteria; Pseudomonadati; Bacteroidota; Flavobacteriia; Flavobacteriales; Flavobacteriaceae. The record is from RNAcentral.
GAUGAACGCUAGCGGCAGGCCUAACACAUGCAAGUCGAGGGGUAGAGGGUGCUUGCAUCCUUGAGACCGGCGCACGGGUGCGUAACGCGUAUGCAACCUGCCUUCCACAGGGGAAUAGCCCAGAGAAAUUUGGAUUAAUGCCCCAUGGCACAUCGAGACGGCAUCGUCUUGGUGUUAAAGUAACAACGGUGGAAGAUGGGCAUGCGUCCCAUUAGCUAGUUGGUAAGGUAACGGCUUACCAAGGCUAUGAUGGGUAGGGGUCCUGAGAGGGAGAUCCCCCACACUGGUACUGAGACACGGACCAGACUCCUACGGGAGGCAGCAGUGAGGAAUAUUGGUCAAUGGUCGCAAGACUGAACCAGCCAUGCCGCGUGCAGGAUGACGGUCCUAUGGAUUGUAAACUGCUUUUGUACGGGAAGAAACACUCCUACGUGUAGGG